GACGAACGCUGGCGGCGUGCCUAAUACAUGCAAGUCGAACGAGAGCGCCCGGUGCUUGCACUGGUCAAUCUAGUGGCGAACGGGUGAGUAACACGUGGGUAACCUGCCCAUCAGAGGGGGAUAACAUCCGGAAACGGAUGCUAAAACCGCAUAGGUCUUCGAACCGCAUGGUUUGAAGGGGAAAAGAGGCGCAAGCUUCUGCUGAUGGAUGUACCCGCGGUGCAUUAGCUAGUUGGUGAGGUAACGGCUCACCAAGGCGGGUAUGCGUAGCCGACGUGUGGGGGGGAUAGGCGACAUGAGAGCUGAGACACGGCCCAAACUCCUACGAGAGGCAGCAGUAGGGAAUCUUCGGCAAUGGUCGCAAGUAUGACGGAGCAAGGCCGCGUGAGUGAAGAAGGUGUUCGGAUCGUAAAACUCUGUUGUUAGUGAAGAACAAGUGCUAGAGUAAAUGUUAGCGCCCUGACGGUAUCGAAUCAGAAAGCCACGGCUAACUACGUG
Molecule: ribosomal RNA, 498 nt
Filed under: uncultured bacterium
Lineage: Bacteria
Description: partial 16S ribosomal RNA
Rfam family: Bacterial small subunit ribosomal RNA
Source: RNAcentral